GCCGGGUGCGGUGGUCCACGCCUGUAAUCCCAGCGGCUAGGGAGGCUGGGACAGGAGGAUCGCAAGUUCAAAGCCAGCCUCAGCAUUGGCGCGCUAAGCAACUUAGUGAGACCCUGUCUCUA
Molecule: small RNA, 122 nt
Filed under: Marmota monax (woodchuck)
Lineage: Eukaryota; Metazoa; Chordata; Mammalia; Rodentia; Sciuridae
Source: RNAcentral